AUUGAACGCUGGCGGCAUGCUUUACACAUGCAAGUCGAACGGUAACAGGCCUUCGGGUGCUGACGAGUGGCGAACGGGUGAGUAAUGCAUCGGAACGUACCCAGAGGUGGGGGAUAACGCAGCGAAAGCUGUGCUAAUACCGCAUGUGAUCUGAGGAUGAAAGCGGGGGACCGAGCAGCAAUGUUUGGCCUCGCGCCUUUGGAGCGGCCGAUGUCGGAUUAGCUAGUUGGUGGGGUAAAGGCCUACCAAGGCGACGAUCCGUAGCUGGUCUGAGAGGACGACCAGCCACACUGGGACUGAGACACGGCCCAGACUCCUACGGGAGGCAGCAGUGGGGACUUUUGGACAAUGGGCGCAAGCCUGAUCCAGCAAUGCCGCGUGAGGGAAGAAGGCCUUCGGGUUGUAAACCGCUUUUGGCAGGAACGAAACGGUGUCCGCUAAUACCGGGCGCUAAUGACGGUACCUGCAGAAUAAGCACCGGCUAACUACGUG
This 492-nucleotide ribosomal RNA is filed under the name uncultured bacterium. Its description in RNAcentral is "partial 16S ribosomal RNA". It matches the Rfam family "Bacterial small subunit ribosomal RNA", at positions 29 to 507 of the family's 1533-position model. The record is from RNAcentral.